GAUGAACGCUAGCGGCAGGCCUAAUACAUGCAAGUCGAGGGGUAGACGAGUGCUUGCACUUGUUGAGACCGGCGAACGGGUGCGUAACACGUAUGCAACCUACCUUUAACUGGGGGAUAGCCCGGAGAAAUCCGGAUUAAUACCCCAUAAUACUAUAGAAAGGCAUCUUUCAUUAGUUAAAGCUCCGGCGGUUAAAGAUGGGCAUGCGGUCCAUUAGCUUGUUGGUGAGGUAACGGCUCACCAAGGCUACGAUGGAUAGGGGGUCGUGAGAGGAUGAUCCCCACACUGGUACGUGAGACACGGACCAGACUCCUACGGGAGGCAGCAGUAGGGAAGUAUUGGACGAAUGGGCGAAAGCCUGAUCCAGCCAUGCGCGUGCAGGAUGACGG
Molecule: ribosomal RNA, 389 nt
Filed under: uncultured bacterium
Lineage: Bacteria
Description: bacterial SSU rRNA
Rfam family: Bacterial small subunit ribosomal RNA
Source: RNAcentral